GAUGCUUCUUGGCACAAGCAAGAGCAACUCUAAAGCACAUACUAGGAAUUACUGGGACUCCCAAUUGUUCCUGAAUAUCUGUACAUUUUACAUUCCAUCAGCAAAUAGUAUAUAAGAGAAUUGAGGGAGAAUGGGAUACCAUUGAGGUAUUAAUUUACAUUAUUUGCUUCCUAAUGAGAUUACAUGUAUAUUAUAUGUUGGCUUUUCUGAAACACUUUUUGAUUCACUGUUAACUUUAUUAGCCAUUUACUUCUCCUCUGAAAUAUAUCUAUCCACAACUGUUGCCCAUUUUAUCAUUGGGUGGUAUGAAUUUCUCUUAUUGAUUUUUAGUAGUUCUUUAAAAUUAAUCCUUUAUUUGUUACACAUAUUACAAGAAUCAACUCCCAAACUGCUAAUAAACUUUUUAUUUGGGAGUAAUGUUAAAUUUAGGGAAGAAUUUCAAAGACAGUACAAAAAAUUAUCAUGUACUAUUUACCUAGUUUCCAUGAAUGUUAAUAUUUUAAAUUAUCAUGGGACAUUUUUCAAAGCUAAGAAACCAACAUUGACAUACAUUACUAUCAACUAAACUCUAGACUUCAGAUUUCACCAGUUUCUUUGGUCAUGUCCUUUUUCUGUUUCAGGACCUGAUUCAGGAAACCACUGUGGAUUUAGUGUGAAUUGUCUUAAUUCCCUUUAUGUUGUUAUCUUUAGAUGAAUGGAGUUUUUCAUUUUAAUGUAGCUGCAUUUACCAAACUUCUCAUUGUGAAUCAGUGCUCUGGGAAAUUUAUUUAAGAAUUUCUUCCUGGGUGGACAGUGUAGCUCAAUGCCAGAGCCAUUACAUCAGGGGCCCUGGGGCCAAUCCUCAGCACUGAAAAAAAAAUCUUCCUUAUACCUAUGCUGUUAUGGCCCUUUUAUAUUUAAGUUUUGCAUGGCACAUUUAAGUCUUUCCUUUUUCAGGAUCAAUUAUUGUGCAUAGUAUCAGGAAAAGAUCCAGUUUCACUUUUUCCCUGUAUUAAUAAAUGUGCAUGUCUUAGUUUGACUUGAAAGUCUCC
RNAcentral lists this long non-coding RNA (1031 nucleotides) under Marmota monax (woodchuck). Lineage: Eukaryota; Metazoa; Chordata; Mammalia; Rodentia; Sciuridae. The record is from RNAcentral.